RNAcentral lists this signal recognition particle RNA (266 nucleotides) under Andreesenia angusta. RNAcentral describes it as "signal recognition particle sRNA large type". It matches the Rfam family "Bacterial large signal recognition particle RNA". Rfam says of the family: The signal recognition particle (SRP) is a universally conserved ribonucleoprotein involved in the co-translational targeting of proteins to membranes. Archaeal SRP consists of a 7S RNA and homologues of the eukaryotic SRP19 and SRP54 proteins. In most bacteria, the SRP consists of a 4.5S RNA and the Ffh protein (a homologue of the eukaryotic SRP54 protein). Lineage: Bacteria; Bacillati; Bacillota; Tissierellia; Tissierellales; Gottschalkiaceae. The record is from RNAcentral.
CCAUGCUAGAUGGGGAGUUAGCGGUGCCUUGUAACCUGCAAUCCGCUAUAGCAGGAUCGAACUCCUGUCCGAGAUAUAUUAUUUAUUUGGUCUGCCCUCAAUAAGUGGUGUUGACGAUUGGGUCCUACGCAACAGAAGCCUGCCAACUCCGUCAGGUCCGGAAGGAAGCAGCGGUACGUAGUCACUUUUGUGUGCCGUGGGGUCGCCUGGUUUGAGCUAACUGUUGAGGUAACGCUUAUGAUGAUAUACCGAAGACAGGUGCAUGG